GCAUUAAUGGGGUAGUGGUAACCUGGGUCGUUGCCAUACGAGGUUCGAGAACUUUCGACCCGCCGGGGGUUCGAUUCCCCCUUAAUGCA
Molecule: non-coding RNA, 89 nt
Organism: Favolaschia claudopus
Lineage: Eukaryota; Fungi; Basidiomycota; Agaricomycetes; Agaricales; Mycenaceae
Source: the annotation of a GenBank genome assembly